UCGAACGGUUAAAGCACCUUCGGGUGUGUAUAGAGUGGCGAACGGCUGAGUAACACGUGGGCAACCUGCCCUUUGCAUCGGGACAGCCUCGGGAAACCGUGGUUAAUACCGGAUACUCCAUCUUUCUCACAUGAAAAAGAUGGGAAAGUGUUUAGCGGCAAGGGAUGGGCCCGCGCCCUGUUAGCUUGUUGGUGGGGUAAAAGCCUACCAAGGCAAUGAUGGGUAGCCGGGUUGAGAGACCGACCGGCCAGAUUGGGACUGAGACACGGCCCAGACUCCUACGGGAGGCAGCAGUGGGGAAUCUUGCACAAUGGGCGAAAGCCUGAUGCAGCGACGCCGCGUGCGGGAUGAAGGCCUUCGGGUUGUAAACCGCUUUCAGCAGGGACGAGGCGAAAGUGACGGUACCUGCAGAAGAAGCCCCGGCUAACUACGUGCCAGCAGCCGCGGUAAUACGUAGGGGGCAAGCGUUAUCCGGAUUCAUUGGGCGUAAAGCGCGCGUAGGCUGCCCAGUAGGUCGAGAGUUAAAUCCGGGGGCUCAACCCCCGUCCGCUCCCGAUACCGCUGGGCUUCGAGUCUGGUAGGGGAAGGUGGAAUUCCCAGUGUAGCGGUGGAAUGCGCAGAUAUUGGGAAGAACACCGGUGGCGAAGGCGGCCUUCUGGGCCAUGACUGACGCUGAGGCGCGAAAGCUAGGGGAGCGAACAGGAUU
RNAcentral lists this ribosomal RNA (706 nucleotides) under uncultured Olsenella sp. RNAcentral's name for it is "bacterial SSU rRNA". It matches the Rfam family "Bacterial small subunit ribosomal RNA", at positions 62 to 779 of the family's 1533-position model. The record is from RNAcentral. Lineage: Bacteria; Bacillati; Actinomycetota; Coriobacteriia; Coriobacteriales; Atopobiaceae.